This 1480-nucleotide ribosomal RNA is filed under the name uncultured marine bacterium. RNAcentral's name for it is "16S ribosomal RNA". It matches the Rfam family "Bacterial small subunit ribosomal RNA". The record is from RNAcentral.
GAGUUUGAUCCUGGCUCAGGAUGAACGCUAGCGGCAGGCUUAACACAUGCAAGUCGAGCGCGAAAGCACUUCGGUGUGAGUAGAGCGGCGGACGGGUGAGUAACGCGUAAGAAUCUACCUAGUAGUGGGGGACAACUCGAGGAAACUCGAGCUAAUACCGCAUACGCCCUACGGGGGAAAGCGGGGGACCUUCGGGCCUCGCGCUAUUAGAUGAGCUUGCGUUGGAUUAGCUUGUUGGUGAGGUAAUGGCUCACCAAGGCUACGAUCCAUAGCUGGUCUGAGAGGAUGAUCAGCCACACCGGGACUGAGACACGGCCCGGACUCCUACGGGAGGCAGCAGUGGGGAAUAUUGCGCAAUGGGCGAAAGCCUGACGCAGCCAUGCCGCGUGUGUGAAGAAGGCCUUAGGGUUGUAAAGCACUUUCAAUUGGGAGGAAAAGUUAACGACUAAUACUCGUUAGCCUUGACGUUACCUUUAGAAGAAGCACCGGCUAACUCCGUGCCAGCAGCCGCGGUAAUACGGAAGAUCCAAGCGUUAUCCGGAAUCAUUGGGUUUAAAGGGUCCGUAGGUGGAUAAUUAAGGCAGAGGUGAAAUCUUGCAGCUCAACUGUAAAAUUGCCUUUGAAACUGGUUAUCUUGAGUUAUUAUGAAGUAGUUAGAAUAUGUAGUGUAGCGGUGAAAUGCAUAGAUAUUACAUAGAAUACCAAUUGCGAAGGCAGAUUUACUAAUAAUCAACUGACACUGAUGGACGAAAGCGUGGGUAGCGAACAGGAUUAGAUACCCUGGUAGUCCACGCCGUAAACGAUGGUUACUAGCUGUUUGGACUUCGGUCUGAGUGGCUAAGCGAAAGUGAUAAGUAACCCACCUGGGGAGUACGUUCGCAAGAAUGAAACUCAAAGGAAUUGACGGGGGCCCGCACAAGCGGUGGAGCAUGUGGUUUAAUUCGAUGAUACGCGAGGAACCUUACCAGGGCUUAAAUGUAAGUUGCAUUAGUUAGAGAUAGCUAUUUCUUCGGACCACUUACAAGGUGCUGCAUGGUUGUCGUCAGCUCGUGCCGUGAGGUGUCAGGUUAAGUCCUAUAACGAGCGCAACCCCUGUUGUUAGUUGCCAGCGAGUCAUGUCGGGAACUCUAGCAAGACUGCCAGUGCAAACUGUGAGGAAGGUGGGGAUGACGUCAAAUCAUCACGGCCCUUACGUCCUGGGCUACACACGUGCUACAAUGGUAGGUACAGAGAGCAGCCACUGCGCGAGCAGGAGCGAAUCUACAAAACCUAUCACAGUUCGGAUCGGAGUCUGCAACUCGACUCCGUGAAGCUGGAAUCGCUAGUAAUCGGAUAUCAGCCAUGAUCCGGUGAAUACGUUCCCGGGCCUUGUACACACCGCCCGUCAAGCCAUGGAAGUUGGAAGUGCCUGAAGUCCGUCACCGCAAGGAGCGGCCUAGGGUAAAGUCGAUAACUAGGGCUAAGUCGUAACAAGGUAACC